RNAcentral lists this ribosomal RNA (406 nucleotides) under uncultured bacterium. Its description in RNAcentral is "partial 16S ribosomal RNA". It matches the Rfam family "Bacterial small subunit ribosomal RNA", at positions 30 to 526 of the family's 1533-position model. The record is from RNAcentral.
AUUGAACGCUGGCGGCAGGCCUAACACAUGCAAGUCGAACGAUUGGCGGACGUGUGCAUCAUGUCUGGGACCCUGCCUGUUGGAGGGGGAUAACUACUGGAAACGUUAGCUAAUACCGCAUACCAUCGGAUUGGCCCAGAUGUGAUUAGCUUUUAGGUGGGGUAAAGGCUCACCUAGGCGACGAUCCCUAGCUGUUCUGAGAGGAUGACCAGCCACACUGGAACUGAGACACGGUCCAGACGCCUACGGGAGGAAGCAGUGGGGAAUAUUGCACAAUGGGCGCAAGCCUGAUGAAGCCAGGCCGCGUGUAGGAAGAAGGCCUUCGGGUUGUAAAGUACUUUCAGCGGGGAGGCGUUACCCGCAGAAGAAGCACCGGCUAACUCCGUGCCAGCAGCCGCGGUAAUAC